This 458-nucleotide ribosomal RNA is filed under the name uncultured bacterium. Its description in RNAcentral is "bacterial SSU rRNA". It matches the Rfam family "Bacterial small subunit ribosomal RNA", at positions 340 to 786 of the family's 1533-position model. The record is from RNAcentral.
UACGGGAGGCAGCAGUGGGGAAUAUUGCACAAUGGGCGAAAGCCUGAUGCAGCUAUGCCGCGUGUAUGAAGAAGGCCUUAGGGUUGUAAAGUACUUUCAUCGGGGAGGAAAAAACAAAACUAAUAAUUUUAUUUCUUGACGUUACCCGAAAAAGAAGCACCGGCUAACUCCGUGCCAGCAGCCGCGGUAAUACGGAGGGUGCUAGCGUUAAUCAGAAUUACUGGGCGUAAAGAGCACGUAGGUGGUUUUUUUAAGUUCAGAUGUGAAAUCCCUGGGCUUAACCUAGGAACUGCAUUUUGAAACUGAAAUACUAGAGUAUCGUAGAGGGAGGUAGAAUUCUAGGUGUAGCGGUGAAAUGCGUAGAUAUCUGGAGGAAUACCUGUGGCGAAAGCGGCCUCCUAAACGAAUACUGACACUGAGGGUGCGAAAGCAUGGGGAGCAAACAGGGAUUAGAUACC